Molecule: long non-coding RNA, 833 nt
Organism: Homo sapiens (human)
Lineage: Eukaryota; Metazoa; Chordata; Mammalia; Primates; Hominidae
Source: Ensembl
CCUCUACUACUGUGCAUAAAACUUGAAGAGUUGGAGGCCAUGUUCACCAGCCCAGAAGAUAUACGUACACUUGGGAUUUUUGAGUUGUGUGGUGGACGGAGGGGUUAGUCUUAAACACUACUGAUGAACCUAUGUGAUUGCUGCCUGUUUCCCGCCAAAUAACAGGGCAGUCACGGCUUAUCCUUUCUGGCUCCCCUUUUACCACCUUCUCCUGGAAUUUACCUGACCUCCUCUUCUCACAGCUUGGCAGGCUCUAGAGAGACUGACCUCUGCAGAUGGUUUAAAGGGAGAAGCUCAAGGGUCCACAGUUCACAGGGCUGCCAAUCAGGCCUGUGCAGAAAACUCAACAGUCUAAAAGAAUAUAUGAAGACAGAACCUCAACCUAGAAGAAAUGGACAAAUUCCCAGACACAUCAAGGAAUUCCUAGACAAACUAUCAAAACUGAAUCAUGAUUAGAUAGAAAAUCUGAACAGAUCAAUAUAAGUAAAGAGAUUAAAGCAGUAAUAAACUCUCCCAUCAAAGAAAAGCUCAGGACCUGAUGGCUUCACUGCUGAAUUCUACCAAACGUUUAAAGAACUAACACCAAUGAUUCUCAAACUCUUUUUAAAAAUUGAAGAUGAGAGAACACUUCCAAAUUCAUAUCACGAGGCCAGCAUUACCCUGAUACCAACGCCAGACAAAGACACUAUAAGAAAAGGCAAUUAUGGACCAAUAUCCCUGAUAAACAUGGAUGUAAAAAUCCUCAUCAAAAUACUAGCAAAUGAAAUUCAACCACAAAUUUAAAAAAGCAUUCACCAUGAUCGAGUGGGAUUUAUCCCUGGGAUGCAGGAAGU